AAAUACCAAUGUUUGGAGGGUUUAAAUGCAUUUGUUCCACUCUUCUAAGGAACGGAGUUUGAUUCAAAAUGGAAAAUGAAAUUGGAAUGAGAAUCAUAAUAGAUACGAAUCAAAUAUAGAAUUGUGAUGUCCCAACUUCCCAGAGGAUCAUCCAUUCUAGAACUACUCCCGUCUUAGCACGCUUAAUUCUCUUAACUUCUUGGGCCUAGCCAAUGCCCAAAAUAUUUAAGCCGGAUUAAAAGUUUUAGCCAUAUUAUAUCUUAUAUAUAGAACUAACUGGGGCCUCAUAUUUUCCCCCCCUUAAGCCGCGACGUUCUCGUCAAGCUCAAACUCAUAAGUAUUAGGUGAUGUGAGACUUGUCUCAUUAGCUUAAAUCGACCUUAUGGUAAGCUGUGCUAGGGGGACACCCAUUGUAGGACUACGCCCGUCCUAACAUGCUUAACUCUCUUAACCUCCUGUGCCUAUCCACCGCCCAAGAUAUUUAAGCUGGGUUAAGAGUUAUAGCCCUAUUAUAUCUUAUAUAUAAGACUACUUGGGGUCUCACAAGAAUGAUACAACCUCCUAAUAUAUUUGGUUCAGAAUAACAAUCGAAAUCGGUACGGUUGAUUUAUAUUUAAAAAAUUUUGAUUAUCAAAAAAUAAUUUAAAAAAAUUGAAAUAAAAUAUGAAAUAUAAAAAUAAUUUAAAAUUAGUUUGCACCUCAAAAUAAAAAAUUAAAUUUGUAAUUUAAAUUCAAACUAAAAGUUAAAUAUUAAAAAUUUACAUCAACAUAUAAAACUAAUUAUUGAGUUGAUUCAAACUCAAACUUACAACUAAAUUUAAAUUUAAAUAUAUAGAUCAAAUUCAAAAUUCUUAAUUGAAUUUAUAUUUUAAUUUAAUUUUUAAAUCAAAAUCUAGAAUUACAAAUUGAAUUUCUAAAUUUAAUUUUAUAUGUUAAUUAAAAAUUAAAGUCAAAAUUAAAUUUAAUUUUAAAUAAAAAUAUAAAAUAUAAUUAAGAUAUUUUUGUAAAGUGU
This 1012-nucleotide long non-coding RNA is filed under the name Ananas comosus (pineapple). RNAcentral describes it as "long non-coding RNA (ACOM_LNC023184)". Lineage: Eukaryota; Viridiplantae; Streptophyta; Magnoliopsida; Poales; Bromeliaceae. The record is from RNAcentral.